UACGUAGGGUGCGAGCGUUGUCCGGAAUUAUUGGGCGUAAAGAGCUCGUAGGCGGCUCGUUGCGUCGGCUGUGAAAACCCGCAGCUCAACUGUGGGCUUGCAGCCGAUACGGGCGGGCUAGGAUUCGGUAGGGGAGACUGGAAUUCCUGGUGUAGCGGUGAAAUGCGUAGAGAUCAGGAAGAACAUCGGUGGCGAAGGCGCUCUGCUGGACCAUAACUGACACUCAGGGACGAAAGCUAGGGGAGCGAAUGGG
Molecule: ribosomal RNA, 253 nt
Filed under: uncultured bacterium
Lineage: Bacteria
Description: partial 16S ribosomal RNA
Rfam family: Bacterial small subunit ribosomal RNA
Source: RNAcentral